Stomoxys calcitrans (stable fly) is the source of this 1875-nucleotide long non-coding RNA. RefSeq lists it as uncharacterized. The record is from RefSeq and is a predicted model, not a curated record. The transcript has 3 exons. Lineage: Eukaryota; Metazoa; Arthropoda; Insecta; Diptera; Muscidae.
UGUAAUUGCAUUCUUUCUUCUGUCAGUUAUCAGCUGUUACUUUUAGCUUGCUUUAGAAAAAAAGUUUAAAAAAGUAUAUUUGAUUAAAGUUCAUUCUAAGUUUUAUUAAAAAUGCAUUUACUUUCUUUUAAAAAAUCCGCAAUUACUUUUUGGGCAACCCAAUAUUAUCUCUUCUUCCUCGAUGUCCCUUCUGCAAAAGUCGUUGUUGGCAACCUUUAGUCUGUCGGCAUGUUUUCCGGUUAGACAGUGACCUGUCAUGACGGACACACAAUGAUUGAGACGUCUGUUCUAGACAAUGACAGCAAAGCAGUAGACCUCUUCAAGUCUAGAUGUGGCCACAUUGCUUUGGAAUGCUCAGAGCCCCCUCUUUGUGAACGUCUAUCAUUCAUUGCCCUUCGGGCCUGGUCCUGAAAACUUAGUUGUCUAGUUGUGAACUGCUACUCCCCUGGCCCUAUGUUGAGCUCACCUUACAGCUUAGGAUGACGCCUAUUUGCUCUUGCGUCGUUUACAAAAAAACUAAAGAAAGCAAUCUGUCUACAAGACCUGUCCGACCGCAGGAGUCUCGUAUGUGUCCCAUAAAUGUAUGCAAGAAGAAAGGGCUAUCUGGCGCACUGUCGGCUGAUAAGUACCCAUGAUGUCACCCAGUAGUCGGAUGUUUCCACGAUGGGCAGCGGAGGUGGAGAAGCUGAGGUUUUGGCGUAUGGUUUUAUGUAAUUUCAGUUUUUGGGUUGUUUUUAUUCAGUAGCCUUUUUGUUUUGUUUGUUUUUAUACCCUCCACCAUAGGAUGGAGGUAUACCAAUUUCGUCAUUCUGUUUGUAACUCCUCGAAAUAUUCCUCUGAGACCCCAUAAACUAUAUAUAUUCUUGAUCGUCAUUACAUUUCAAGGCGUUCUAACCAUGUCUGUCCGUUUGUCUGUCGAAAGCUCGCUUACUUUCGAAGGAGUAAAGCCAGCCGCUUGCACGAAUACUUCUUAUUAGUGUAGAUCGGUUGGGAUUGUAAAUGGGCCAUAUCGGUCCAUAUUUUGAUAUAGCUGCCAUAUAAACCGAUCUUGGAUCUUGACUUCUUGAGCCUCUACAGGGCGCAAUUCCCAUCCGAUUUGCCUGAAAUUUUGCAAGAAGUGUUUUGUUAUGACUUUGUAUAGAAAUUUUGCAAGAAGUGUUUUGUUAUGAAUUCUAACAGUUGUGCUAAAUAUGGUUUUAUUUGGUUCAUAACCUGAUAUAGCUGCCAUAUAAACCGAUCUGGGAUCUUGACUUUGAAAUUUUGUACAACGACUUCUCUCUUGACCUUCAACAUACGUGUCAAUUAUGAUCUGAAUCGGUCUACAGCCUGAUACAGCUCUCAUAUAAACCGAUCUCCCUAUCUUACUUCUUGUUUUAGCUAUUUUUCUUCUCUUUCAGGUUUUAAUAAAUUUCAGUUAUUUUAAUCUAGCUCUAGCCAGCUUGGCUUUAGUUGACCUCCAUCAUGAAGUAGGUCUUCCAGCCGGCACCAAAAAAAAAUAUGGGGGAGGCAUAAUGAAAGGUUGGUGUCAGCUGGUUAUCUCUCUCUCCCUGAUGGGGGUCAAACAUAGCCAGCAGGUGUCGCUGGAGUCAUAUAAUUGACAUAAAGGUGGCGCUGGGUAUGUACAUUAGGCCGCGCACUACAUUUUUACUCCCAAUCUUACUUACUUUCUUGAAUUGGCUAUGACAAAACAUUUGUCCCAUUAGCCGAACGUAGAAUGGCGUUUCAAGCGCCUCGAUCUUCUGCGCUCCUUCUAAAAUCUUUGACACGUACGACAUUCACCCGGUAGCUAUUUACCGCAUCUGCUAGCGGUCUGCAUGAAUGUUGUCUAGACCCGCAUGAUAUACCGCUUGAUCUAGAAGUUCUCUCUUGUAGCGC